CUGCAGAUGACACCUCCCUCUGGGAAGCUGCGCCUCAGCACACUGACGGGUCUGAGAGGUGUUGCGGAAGAGUCGUCCCUGUCUUUCCACUAGGAAUUCUAGGCCGGAUUUGACCUGAUGUUAGGGGGUGAAGAAAGUGGGAGCAAAUUCAACAACCACAUUUUUUCGGGCACUGGUUAUCCGAUCAGCAUCCUGCCAGAGAUGCUGGGAACACAAUGGAGCUUUGCGAUGUCAUCUAGUUAAGAUGAAGUCAUAACGGAGUAGGAUGGGCCCCAAUCCAAUGUGAUUGACGUCUCUGCAAGAAGGCCACGUGAAAACAGAGACGCACAGGUUGGGGGAGGCCGCGUGAAGAUGGAGCAGGGACGGGAGUGAAGCAGCUGCAGGCAGUGAAUAGCAGACGCUAGGAGGGGCGAGGAAGGAUCCGCCUGGAGCCCCAGCGGAAGCCUGGCCCUGCCGGUACCUGGACUUGGAGGUCGGGCCUCGGGAACUAUGAGAGGGUGCAUUUCUGUUGGGUAAAGCCACCCAAUUUAUGGGACUUCAUGGCUGAGGCAGACGGCAGUAAACGAACGCCCUGCAACCCUCCGUCUUCUGCAGCCCCCACACCCGGGCCCACGGCUCCCCACCCCACAGCUCCUUAGCGCGGCUGCUCGGUGGAGCCUGUGCCUGUCCGUGUAAGCCCUCAGCCCCUUUCUCCACACCUCUCCCCGGCGCCCAGCCAUUGUGCAACCUUCUUGGCACCGGCCGCUCGAGACUCACCCCCGGGCUGGGCAGCCCAUUCCCUGUCACUCAUUCUGUGUUUUGAUCCUGCCUCAUUCUAUCUUCUUCUUGCUCACUUUUUACACUAAAAACUUUUACAUUAGCUGACUGUAAUCUAUGUUUCCUUAUAAUUUACCCUAAA
This 898-nucleotide long non-coding RNA is filed under the name Homo sapiens (human). RNAcentral describes it as "HSALNT0290066". Lineage: Eukaryota; Metazoa; Chordata; Mammalia; Primates; Hominidae. The record is from RNAcentral.